Triplophysa dalaica is the source of this 2706-nucleotide long non-coding RNA. RefSeq lists it as uncharacterized. The transcript has 12 exons. Lineage: Eukaryota; Metazoa; Chordata; Actinopteri; Cypriniformes; Nemacheilidae. The record is from RefSeq and is a predicted model, not a curated record.
GCAGUAAAAGUAUUGUAGCAGUAAUUCGGUCAAUUGACCAGAAUGUUACAUAUACAUUGCGCCUAACAGAGUUCAAAAUCCUGAAACCACACAACUGGUUGAACGAGAAGAUUAUUGAAGGCUACAUCCAAAAACUGUUUAAUUCAAAACAUGGAAGAAAAAUAUUUUUGUUCAACCACUACUCCGCUGGUAUUGUUGUGUUUGAUAAGAGGGCUGCAAUGUCUAAACACAGAUUCCGAAAGGUCAACUUACAAAACUAUGAGGCCAUAAUUGGAUUCAUGCAAGUACAACAUAACCACUGGAAAUUUCUGUAUCUCAACAGGACAAUGCAGAAAGUGUUUGUAGUGGAUCCCCAAGGAAGAGAUGAAGUGAAAGAAUCUAAAAUUGCCGCCGCAAGAUUCAGAAGAUACUUCAAAAUGUGGCAGAUAUAUCAUGGUAAAACAGUCUAGGUGGAUGUGCCAUAGACUCAUGGUGUCUUGAACCACAGUCUACAGGAAGAUGGUUGCAGCUGUGGAGUAUAUGUUAUGCAGAUGGUUAAGGAGGUAGUGGAGGCUUUUCCAGUGACACCAUCAGAAAUCGUGAUACAUUCUAGAAUGGACCUCUUGUCAGAGCUGCGUAAAGAGAUGGCUGUAACAAUCCUAGAAGUAUCGGUAUUCAACCCCAAAGAUCACUGCUCCUUUUGUGGAGAAGAGUCUCCUGUUGGAUGUGUGGGCCCGAACACAUGGAGGGACAUCCAGAAGAACUGGACUUAACGGAAGGGAGAUGGUCUGGAGAAAAAGAGAGCAGCAAGAGAGAGGAUAACGCAAACAAAAAGUCAGAAAAAGAAUCAACAACCAAGUGCGACGGGAAAAAAGAAAGAGUGAGACGGAGACCACACAUGCCAUCGAGGAGAAGAUCGAAGUGCAGAAAGCGUACGACACGCUGCUCCUCGCUCAUCCAGUGACAUUGGACGGGGAAGUUCCAAACAGGUGUCUGCGCUCAGUGGCGUCUGUGACAUUCCAGAGGCAACUCUAUAAGCGCUGGAUUAAAGCACAGAUGAGACUGCGAGUGCAAUCUGUCAUCUCACACUUAGGCUGGCGACUUCCAAAAUAAAAAAAGAGUCAUUAGAUGGAUUUCGAGUUAGGGCUGGAAAAGCAACACCCCUUCCUACGCCCACAUCGUCAGUGACUGGAAGGCGCCGGGACCCGUUCGUGCUGUUAUGGACUGCACGCACAUCCGGAAGCUCACCAUCUCACAGAAGUGGAAAGGCCUGAAACUGACUGAUAAGGAUGUUGUCACAAAACGUUCUUUCCAGAUCGGAGAGGUCAUUUGGGACUAUCACGGACGUGUAGUCACGGCAAGUGAGGACUAGAACAUCCAAACUGGCAAGGGUCAAUCUGGAGGCUUGUUCUUCUACACAAACAGGAAGGGCGAGCCGAUGUGCAUAGACUCCAGCAGCUGCGAAUGCCACACCGACAGGCAGCCAUUCUGUCACCGCAUUUGCCACUAUGGGAAGCAUGCCAAUAUACGUCCCAAGCUGUUAACAGUUCAGGAGGAUGGGAAGGAGGAGGACAUUAUCUUGUUUCUGGCAAUCCGAAAGAUCCCGCCAAAUGAAGCACUCUGCUACGAUUACGGAGACAAGAAGAAGUCCUACAGGGGAGAGGGUCUAGAUCUCAACUGGGAAUAGACCACGACUUCUGGAACACCACACCGGCAAAACACACUGUUUACGAAUAACCAUGCAAAACUAUGGACACUUUGGCCAGCAAUCUACAUUUUUUCGUCUCCUGAUGAACAAUGCAAGCGUUUAUGAAUUUAGCAUGCAGAACUAUGGACACUUUGGCCAGCAAACUUCAAUUUUUUCCCCUCCGGAUGAUGAUAUUUAAUUUUCAUGUUCGGUAUUGUUUUGUUCAAUACGUGAUAUCUUGCUCCAGAAUGAAAAUUUCAAGCAGGAGGUAGAAAACGUUUCCAGAUUUCUCCACUUCAUGGACCCACAACAACCGUCCCUGUUGUUUGUGAGGAACAGGGAGAAAUCAAAGCUGUUUCUGCGUGAGCUCACUGAGGCCAAGUUGACCAAUCAGACUCAGCUAAACUACCUCAAGAUCACAAAAAGAUUUCUCCAGUACCACACGGACCUCAAGCACAGCGAAUGAAAACAUGGCAUGAAACAUUGAUAGAGCAGUGAAUAGGUUCAGUACACAGCAAAAUCGCAUGACAAACUCAUUUUUUUAUUUAUUUGGCGUUUAUCGCGUUUUGGAAAAGAGCUCUUCAUAUGCAAUAAGUACUAACAAGAUGAUUAGAGAAGCCUUUGGAGGUGAAGGCAUUACAGUCUAGGCAGGUGUGUUGAGUCAAUACAAAACUGCCCUACACCUUGUGAAUGGUACUGUGACAAUACUACUUGAAUAUUAAUCCAGUCAUUGUGCCUCUGCAUGAGCAACACAGGCCUGAUUUCAUCUUCAUGGAUGACCUUGCCCCAGCUCAUUGAGGUUGCAUGAUCAUGGAACGGCUGCUGGAGGCAGCGGUACCUCAAAUGGAGUGGCCUGCACUUAUAGAAAGCCUCUGAGAUCAGUUGUCAUGUAGAGGGUCGUAACAUUAUACCCCAGAACCUCAAUGACCUGAGGAAAGCCCUUCAAGAACAUCGAGUUGUGAGCAUCAUGAGACGUCAUUGUCAAGUUAUAAUUCAUGCUCAAGGACACAUAAGUUAUUUAAAUUUUCUGUUGUGGUAUA